This is a long non-coding RNA of Pangasianodon hypophthalmus (striped catfish), 903 nucleotides long. RefSeq lists it as uncharacterized. The transcript is spliced from 2 exons. NCBI's taxonomy places the organism in Eukaryota, Metazoa, Chordata, Actinopteri, Siluriformes, Pangasiidae. The record is from RefSeq and is a predicted model, not a curated record.
UAUGUGUGUGUGUUCAUCCUGAUCUAAGAGGCCUUGCCUGGGACCUUGAGCUUGCUGAAGCAUGGGGGCAUGGAUUGUCUCUUGUCUGGGAGAGUGCGAGACCCUGAGAGAUAACAUACUUUACAGGCAACUGGGAACACGGCGUCCCAAACCCUCAGCCUCCUAUCUCACAUUCUCUGCCCCCCUGACGUCCACACCUUAGAUAGCACAUCAUCUGCUCAGGGAAUGAGCCUUCAGCAUGCACAGGAUUUGGUGCCAGCACCAGCCAAUGCACUAUGGCAUCGACUUGCCUGCAACAGACGUUGUUUACAGCGAGUUGUUUUGAGUGGAGUGUGUAUCCGGCUCUAGUGAGUGCAGGUGCUUGAGGAGGCCCAGAAGGAGGAGGAGGAGGAGGUGGAGGAGGAGGAGAGCCAGUGAAUAAAAGUUACUCUGUCUUCCUUAAACAUCUUCAAGGUCUCUGGGAAGGAAUAAAUUCCCAUGGCAGAGAGUUUCCUGGGAGGAGACCGCCCUGGCACUAGACUGGGUGACAUCUGCUGAGUUGAUGCCUUAUUUCCAUGCUCGUUGUUCCUUUUUCCUAUGCAUAUACCUCUUUGAGACGUAGCAUUAAAGAGGCAUAGGGCAUGGGAAAAUGGGGCUGCAGAGGUGUUCCACUGGAGUUUUCUACAAAACCUCAUCUACUGAGAAAGGGUUAGGUAAACAUGCCAUCUUAAACGCUUUCAUGAUCUGCCUCUCUACCCAAAGGAGUAUAUAGCUCUUAGCAGCGUGAUUGUUUUUAUUUGCUACAUGGGAUGCUGUGAAGAAACAGUGAUGGUGUGAUCUUGUGAAGUGUAGCGUGAGAAAUGAAACCCAGUAAGCAAUGUGUUGUCUGUCUGUAAUUUAAUAAAGAAACUGAAUUGAAAAGCA